UGGAGUGUAUGGAAUUACUUUAAUACCAAAUCUCCACCGCAUUGCAAAUAAAAUAAAAAUGGUAAUGUAGAAAUGUAAAGGUAAGAAAUGGAAGAGCAAAAUUCUCAAAUUCAACCUUGUUCUGGAACUCCUCCUUUCUUCUCCUGAAACCUAGGUUAGUCCAGACCCUUAAAUAACAGAAGCAUAACCAAGGUAAGUUUGUCAAACUACUCGAC
Molecule: long non-coding RNA, 215 nt
Filed under: Solanum tuberosum (potato)
Lineage: Eukaryota; Viridiplantae; Streptophyta; Magnoliopsida; Solanales; Solanaceae
Description: long non-coding RNA (STUB_LNC003345)
Source: RNAcentral